RNAcentral lists this ribosomal RNA (204 nucleotides) under uncultured bacterium. RNAcentral's name for it is "partial 16S ribosomal RNA". It matches the Rfam family "Bacterial small subunit ribosomal RNA", at positions 524 to 726 of the family's 1533-position model. The record is from RNAcentral.
UACGAAGGGGGCUAGCGUUGUUCGGAAUUACUGGGCGUAAAGCGCGCGCAGGCGGUCUUCCAAGUCAGUGGUGAAAGCCCGGAGCUCAACUCCGGAACUGCCAUUGAAACUGUGAGACUUGAGUAUGAGAGAGGUGAGUGGAAUUCCCAGUGUAGAGGUGAAAUUCGUAGAUAUUGGGAAGAACACCCGGUGGCGAAGGCGGCU